CCUACGGGUGGCAGCAGUGAGGAAUAUUGGUCAAUGGUCGGGAGACUGAACCAGCCAAGCCGCGUGAGGGAUGAAGGUACAGAGUAUCGUAAACCUCUUUUGUCAGGGAACAAAGGCGGGGACGUGUCCCCGGCUGAGUGUACCUGAAGAAAAAGCAUCGGCUAACUCCGUGCCAGCAGCCGCGGUAAUACGGAGGAUGCGAGCGUUAUCCGGAUUUAUUGGUUUUAAAGGGUGCGCAGGCGGUCUGUUAAGUAAGCGGUCAAAGCCCGGGGCUCAACCCGGGCCCGCCGUUGAAACUGGCAGUAUGGAGUUGGUGAGAAGUAUGCGGAAUGCGCGGGGUAGCGGUGAAAUGCAUAGAUAUCGCGCAGAACUCCGAUUGCGAAGGCAGCAUGCCGGCUCCACACUGACGCUGAGGCACGAAAGCGUGGGUAUCGAACAGGAUUAGAUACCCGUGUAGUC
This 459-nucleotide ribosomal RNA is filed under the name uncultured bacterium. RNAcentral's name for it is "partial 16S ribosomal RNA". It matches the Rfam family "Bacterial small subunit ribosomal RNA", at positions 338 to 795 of the family's 1533-position model. The record is from RNAcentral.